CAUUACAAGUGACCCCGGUCUUACCACCGGGAUGUUCAUAACCCUUUGUUGUCCGACUCUGUUGCCUCCGGGGCGACCCUGCCUUCGGGCGGGGGCUCCGGGUGGACACUUCAAACUCUUGCGUAACUUUGCAGUCUGAGUAAACUUAAUUAAUAAAUUAAAACUUUUAACAACGGAUCUCCUGGUUCUGGCAUCGAUGAAGAACGCAGCGAAAUGCGAUAAGUAAUGUGAAUUGCAGAAUUCAGUGAAUCAUCGAAUCUUUGAACGCACAUUGCGCCCCCUGGUAUUCCGGGGGGCAUGCCUGUUCGAGCGUCAUUUCACCACUCAAGCCUCGCUUGGUAUUGGGCAACGCGGUCCGCCGCGUGCCUCAAAUCGACCGGCUGGGUCUUCUGUCCCCUAAGCGUUGUGGAAACUAUUCGCUAAAGGGUGUUCGGGAGGCUACGCCGUAAAACAACCCCAUUUCUAAGGUUGACCUCGGAUCAGGUAGGGAUACCC
This 495-nucleotide ribosomal RNA is filed under the name uncultured Ascomycota. RNAcentral's name for it is "eukaryotic LSU rRNA". The stretch from base 162 to 315 matches the Rfam family "5.8S ribosomal RNA". Lineage: Eukaryota; Fungi; Ascomycota. The record is from RNAcentral.